AACGCUAGCUACAGGCUUAACACAUGCAAGUCGAGGGGCAGCAUUGGAGUAGCAAUACUUCAGAUGGCGACCGGCGCACGGGUGAGUAACACGUAUCCAACCUGCCGCUUACUCGGGGAUAGCCUUUCGAAAGAAAGAUUAAUACCCGAUGGUAUAAAGAGUUCGCAUGUUCUCUUUAUUAAAGAAAUUCGCUGAUAGAUGGGCAUGCGUUCCAUUAGGUAGUUGGUGAGGUAACGGCUCACCAAGCCGACGAUGGAUAGGGGAACUGAGAGGUUGGUCCCCCACACUGGUACUGAGACACGGACCAGACUCCUACGGGAGGCAGCAGUGAGGAAUAUUGGUCAAUGGACGAGAGUCUGAACCAGCCAAGUAGCGUGAAGGAUGACUGCCCUAUGGGUUGUAAACUUCUUUUAUAAGGGAAUAAAGUGAGGGACGUGUCCCUUUUUGUAUGUACCUUAUGAAUAAGGAUCGGCUAACUCCGUGCCAGCAGCCGCGGUAAUACGGAGGAUCCAAGCGUUAUCCGGAUUUAUUGGGUUUAAAGGGAGCGUAGGUUGACAUAUAAGUCAGCUGUGAAAGUUUACGGCUCAACCGUGAAAUUGCAGUUGAUACUGUAUGUCUUGAGUGUACAAGAGGUGGGCGGAAUUCGUGGUGUAGCGGUGAAAUGCUUAGAUAUCACGAAGAACUCCGAUUG
This 691-nucleotide ribosomal RNA is filed under the name uncultured bacterium. RNAcentral's name for it is "bacterial SSU rRNA". It matches the Rfam family "Bacterial small subunit ribosomal RNA", at positions 32 to 715 of the family's 1533-position model. The record is from RNAcentral.